RNAcentral lists this long non-coding RNA (324 nucleotides) under Elaeis guineensis (African oil palm). Its description in RNAcentral is "long non-coding RNA (EGUI_LNC018395)". The record is from RNAcentral. Lineage: Eukaryota; Viridiplantae; Streptophyta; Magnoliopsida; Arecales; Arecaceae.
AAUCUAAUUAGAAGUCCAAUCAUCUCAAUAAAUUUCUAAUCCAAUUAAGAAUUAGUCGAGCCCAAGUCUUGAUCAAAUCAGGAUUAAAUUUCUCUUGCCAUCAGGUUUGAUCAAAUUAAAUCAAAUCUAAGUCAAAAUGAAUCCAAUUUAGUAAGACUUAAUCCAAAGUACUUUGCUCAAUCAAAUUGAGUCAAUUAGUAAUUUAAUUGCUAGUAAAUUCUUCACUAAUAGUAGAGUCUCAGUUCAGUGAGACUCUCCUCUUUAGUUCCAAUCCCAAUGAGACUCUUCACCAGAGUCAUAAUCCAAUUAAAAUUUUUAGCCAUC